RNAcentral lists this transfer RNA (71 nucleotides) under Ovis aries (sheep). It matches the Rfam family "tRNA". Rfam says of the family: Transfer RNA (tRNA) molecules are approximately 80 nucleotides in length. The record is from Rfam by way of RNAcentral. Lineage: Eukaryota; Metazoa; Chordata; Mammalia; Artiodactyla; Bovidae.
UCCCUGAUGGCUCAGACAGUAAAGCAUCUGCCUACAAUGCAGGAGACCGGGUUCAAUUCCUGGGUUGGGAA